AGAGCGUUGAAGAACGUUAAACAAAAUUAGUGUAGCAAUACACAAAGCACUUACUUAAAGAAAAGCUUUAGUUUUUUAUUUGGUUGAUAUAUAUAAAAAAUACAAAACCCACUAGAAAUUAGUAAAAGGGAAAGAGAUUGAGAAAUGAAGAAGGGGAAAAGUAUAUUACUUAUUACUCAUCACCCAUUACUCAUACAAAGUCUCGUAGCUCAGCUGGUUAGAGCGCUACACUGAUAAUGUAGAGGUCGGCAGUUCGAGCCUGCCCGAGACUACUAAUUAAGGCGGCUGGCAAAUAGCUUAUAGCUUAUGGCAAAAAAGCCAAAAGCAAUUAGCAGGAAGCCAACAGCACCUAGAGGGGGAAUUAGCUCAGCUGGCUAGAGCGCCUGCCUUGCACGCAGGAGGUCAAGGGUUCGACUCCCUUAUUCUCCACCAAUUGGGUUUCAAGUUUAAUAUUCAAAGUUCCAAUAACGGAAGAUGAGAGCCAUUUUCCAUGAACCAAGAACCUUAAACUAUGAACUAGAAAUAAGAUCAUUGACAUUAACGGUAAAGACAUCACAAAGAGAAAACCGAGCACUUAUAAGUGCUUGAGUAACCUAAAAAUAGGAAAGAAAUCGUUAAGGGCGUAUG
This 627-nucleotide transfer RNA is filed under the name rhizosphere bacterium GWR08. RNAcentral describes it as "16S-23S intergenic spacer". The stretch from base 356 to 429 matches the Rfam family "tRNA". The record is from RNAcentral.